UGGAUAAUUGCUGCUUGUAAAAACGAUUGUUGCAGUGUUUAUUUUUAACGUUUCACACCCAUGCAGUGCAUGUUCUGAAAUUAAAAUACCAAUCCCCGUUUUGAGUCACCGGAUCCAGCCCCCCUUCUGCGCCCCGGGACCUCCCACUUAGCCGGAUAUACAGAAAAUACAGAGAGAACACUGAAAUGGUUUGGAGAUGUUUGCCCAGUGUCCAUGUAAGAUUUAUUGAUGACAACGUUCGGCAGACAGUUCCUUUUCACUACAUUCAGAACUUUACACCUCAACACCUGAAGGAUGGAGGAAUGUCCUGUAAUGACUCUAUUAAGUAGCUGUGACAUGAGCAAGACAUCUCAAGACAACACAGUUCAUCAAAAUGUUGAUAUGGACCGUAAAUAACCUUAUAACAGGGCUUCUAAUUCUAUAUAAAAUAGAAGAUAAUUUAAGGGUCACAGUCACACUUCAGUCACAAAUUUAGCAUGUGGCCAUUUGGGGCACUGAGAAGCUCAAAUAGCGAAGUGUAACAGGUGAAAUCGAACGCCAUAAAAGGUUCAGUGCCCAAGCCUCCUCUAACCCAAGAGAAAAUGAGUGUCAUCAAAGAGCGCCUGAGAGACCGGCUCAAGCAACGUGGGUAUCAAAAGGAGGCCAGCUGGGCCUAGUUCGUAGAAGCAUUUAGGAAAAAAUGAGAGACAUAAGAAAAAGGGCCCAUCUGACUGCAACCUGGACAUCGUACAUUGCACUGCCCUCCACUGGACAGCAGAUGGCACUCAAUUGCAUUCAAUACAGCAAAUGAGGUAAAAGGUAGUUCAAAACACAAAACAGUUCUCACACACCAAGCAUACAGCAUUAGGAAAGGGAAUUUGAAAUCUGGAUAAUAUGCUCUUCAAAUAAUUCCAGUAAAAAUACAGUAUCAAAAUGGCUUCAGUGUUUGAUAAACAAUUUUAAUAAUAAAGCUUAAAUGUUGAAAAUGUAAUUUACAGUAUAGACAUUGACAUGUAUUUCUUACAUCGGAUGUAUCAAAUAGUUAUAAUCAUACUGUACAAAAAACUGUUUGCCACAAAAAUGUGUUCACCUGUAACACCCUUUACAAGGAACAUUAGAUUACAGUUACACAAAGACAACAGUACAGGUGUAACAAGCAAUUACAGACACAUGGAAACACACCUUUCAAAUAGCACAGGAAGGUCAACUAGUGCAUAAGGAAUAGGAUGGAAUCAUUGUUGGAUUUCAGCAAUACCAAAUUCUCAAUAGGCAUAGCAGAAAACAUGUUUUUUCACCUUGGCAUUUGAGAGCAGUCUGUGUGCUUAACCAAAAGUUCAGUGUGAAUAAUGUUGUAAAAAUAACAAUAGUAACGUAACUAUUCAACAUCUAUGUGAUAUUCUGUAUGACAAAGAUGAUAUGCAGAUCACUUGGAUGAAUACAUUUUCAAAGUGUUAUAGGCAGAAGAAAAACAACAAUCAUUUAAAAACGGCUGUGUGUGCACAAACUCCAGGAUUCAAGUUUUUGGCUGGCUCAAUAAACACAAAGUGAGAAACUGACUUCUAAACUUUGUUUUAGAAGCCAUUGUUUCACAUCUCUUGAAUGUCUUCAUUGGACUCAAUUAUUUGCUUGGAGUGUCUAUUGCUCAAUAUCCCAAUGUAGCUAGCAUUCCUCUGUAUCCAAUGACAUUGUGUUGCAGAGGGCCACUGUUCCACAUAGCCAAAGGGAGGACACUGUCUGCCCUAUUCAUUUUGUAUCUAGUCAACAGGUAUCCUUAAGGGAAUCCAUUUGUCAGCUGUGUCUGUCCCCAGA
Hypomesus transpacificus is the source of this 1788-nucleotide long non-coding RNA. RefSeq lists it as uncharacterized. The record is from RefSeq and is a predicted model, not a curated record. The transcript has 4 exons. NCBI's taxonomy places the organism in Eukaryota, Metazoa, Chordata, Actinopteri, Osmeriformes, Osmeridae.